GUGUUCGCCUGGGGAGUACGGUCGCAAGAUUAAAACUCAAAGGAAUAGACGGGGACCCGCACAAGUGGUGGAGCAUGUGGUUUAAUUCGAAGAUACGCGAAGAACCUUACCUGGCCUUGACAUUGAUAGAAUCCUGUAGAGAUACGGGAGUGCCCUUCGGGGAGCUUGAAAACAGGUGCUGCACGGCUGUCGUCAGCUCGUGUCGUGAGAUGUUGGGUUAAGUCCCGCAACGAGCGCAACCCUCGUCCUUAGUUGCCAGCAGGUUAAGCUGGGCACUCUAAGGAGACUGCCUUCGCAAGGAGGAGGAAGGUGUGGACGACGUCAAGUCAUCAUGGCCCUUACGGCCAGGGCUACACACGUGCUACAAUGAGGCGUACAGAGAGUUGCAAUACCGCGAGGUGGAGCCAAUCUCAUAAAGCGUCUCUCAGUUCGGAUUGGAGUCUGCAACUCGACUCCAUGAAGCUGGAAUCACUAGUAAUCGUAGAUCAGCAUUGCUACGGUGAAUACGUUCCCGGGUCUUGCACACGCCGCCCGU
RNAcentral lists this ribosomal RNA (535 nucleotides) under uncultured bacterium. RNAcentral's name for it is "bacterial SSU rRNA". It matches the Rfam family "Bacterial small subunit ribosomal RNA", at positions 865 to 1397 of the family's 1533-position model. The record is from RNAcentral.